RNAcentral lists this transfer RNA (64 nucleotides) under Cavia porcellus (domestic guinea pig). It matches the Rfam family "tRNA", at positions 1 to 62 of the family's 71-position model. Rfam says of the family: Transfer RNA (tRNA) molecules are approximately 80 nucleotides in length. Lineage: Eukaryota; Metazoa; Chordata; Mammalia; Rodentia; Caviidae. The record is from Rfam by way of RNAcentral.
GGGGAUUUAGCUCAGUGGCAUAAACACCUGCCUUGAAAGCAGGCGGUUGUGAGUUCAAUCCCCA